Molecule: ribosomal RNA, 253 nt
Filed under: uncultured bacterium
Lineage: Bacteria
Description: partial 16S ribosomal RNA
Rfam family: Bacterial small subunit ribosomal RNA
Source: RNAcentral
UACGGAGGGUCCAAGCGUUAUCCGGAAUCAUUGGGUUUAAAGGGUCCGUAGGCGGUUUUGUAAGUCAGUGGUGAAAGCCCAUCGCUCAACGGUGGAACGGCCAUUGAUACUGCAAGACUUGAAUUAUUGUGAAGUAACUAGAAUAUGUAGUGUAGCGGUGAAAUGCUUAGAGAUUACAUGGAAUACCAAUUGCGAAGGCAGGUUACUAACAAUAUAUUGACGCUGACGGACGAAAGCGUGGGUAGCGAACAGG